RNAcentral lists this long non-coding RNA (787 nucleotides) under Mytilus galloprovincialis (Mediterranean mussel). The record is from RNAcentral. Lineage: Eukaryota; Metazoa; Mollusca; Bivalvia; Mytilida; Mytilidae.
CAGUAUUCAGCAAUAGCAAGAAAUCUUCACUUGCACAGUAUUGAGCAAUAGCAAGAAAUUUUCAAUUGCACAGUAUUGCGCAAUAGCAAGAAAUCUUCAAUUGCACAGUAUUGUGCAAUAGCAAAUAUUUUCAAUUGCACAGUAUUGCGCAAUAGCAAGAAAUAUCUAAUUGCACAAUAUUGUGCAAUAGCAAGAAAUUUUUAAUUGAUUGGAGUUAUCUUUCUUUGUCCAGAAUUGUAGUUGAAUCAACUUAAAUCAUUGUUUUAUACAAUAUACAAUGUAUAUUCACUUUUACUACCAACUGAUAAAUUAAAACAAUCUUUACCAUUCAGUGAUAACAAGCACCUUUUGUUACAUUUUAAUAUUUUAUGAUGUAUUUAAAUGAGUAGUUAUUGUUGCAAACUCCAUUAGAAAUUUGAAUUGAGAUCAGUUUUGGAAAAAGGGAAAGGGGAUGUGAAAAAAAAAUGGGUGUGGGGGGGGGGGGGGGGGUUAAAUUUUUCUCAUUUCAGAUUUCAUAAAUAAAAAGAAAAUUUCUUCAAACAUUUUUUUGAGAGGAUUAAUAUUCAACAGCAUAGUGAAUUGCUCAAAGGAAAAAAAAGUAUUUUAAGUUCAUUAGACCACAUUCAUUCUGUGUCAGAAACCUAUGCUGUGUCAACUAUUUAAUCACAAUCCAAAUUUAGAGCUGAAUCCAGCUUGAAUGUUGUGUCCAUACUUGCCCCAACCGUUCAGGGUUCAACCUCUGCGGUCGUAUAAAGCUGCGCCCUGCGGAGCAUCUGGUUUGAGUUAU